This 798-nucleotide non-coding RNA is filed under the name Glyptotermes sp. C TB-2014. The record is from RNAcentral. Lineage: Eukaryota; Metazoa; Arthropoda; Insecta; Blattodea; Kalotermitidae.
UAGCAGUUUUAUUCUUGCUGGGUUGUUCAGUAUUGCCUUAUUUUAUAUGUAAGUUUUUGCGUGGUUCUUUCUUUGUUCUUAAUGGUCAAUGAUUGGUUUAUUUAAGUCGCAUUAUUUAUUAUUAUUGUGAUUCUAGGUUUUUAGGAGUUAGUAAUGGCUUAAGUGAUGGUUAAGUUUGUGCCAGCAGCCGCGGUUAUACAUUAAUCGCUACUGAAUAUUUUCGGUUAUGCAGUUUGAUUUAUUGUUUGGCAUGAGAUUUUAUGUUUUUAGGUGGAAUUAAUUCAUUUCUAAUUAGUGUUUAUUUUAUAUUUUUAGGCUGUGAAAUCUUUAUUUUAAACUAGGAUUAGAUACCCUAUUAUUUUUGAUGUUAAUUUUUUUUCCUGGGUAGUAUUAGUUAUGUUCUUGAAACCUAAAGAAUUUGGCGGUAUUCUAUUCCUUUCAGAGGAAUCUGCCCUAUAAUCGAUGAUCCACGUUGUACCUUACUUAAUUUUUUGUUUGUAUAUCGCCGUUAUAAUGAGGAUCUUUUUAGUGUAUAUAAUUUUCUAGUUUUAUUAGUGUGAUUUAUUUCAGGUCAAGGUGCAGCUUGUUUUUAAGUUUGAGGUGGAUUACAUUAUGUUAUGUUUAUGGAUUAUUGGUUGGAAUUAUUAACUAAUAUGAAAUUGGAUUUGAUUGUAAUUUAUUGAAGAUUGUUUGGAUGAUAUUGGUUCUAGAAUAUGUACACAUCGCCCGUCGCUCUCAUUCUUUACUUGAGAUAAGUCGUAACAAAGUGGCCGUACCGGAAGGUGUGGCUGGAAUGUC